Molecule: ribosomal RNA, 447 nt
Filed under: uncultured bacterium
Lineage: Bacteria
Description: partial 16S ribosomal RNA
Rfam family: Bacterial small subunit ribosomal RNA
Source: RNAcentral
AACGAACGCUGGCGGCAGGCUUAACACAUGCAAGUCGAACGCCCCGCAAGGGGAGUGGCAGACGGGUGAGUAACGCGUGGGAAUCUACCGUACCCUACGGAACAACAGUUGGAAACGACUGCUAAUACCGUAUACGCCCUUAGGGGGAAAGAUUUAUCGGGGUAUGAUGAGCCCGCGUUGGAUUAGCUAGUUGGUGGGGUAAAGGCCUACCAAGGCGACGAUCCAUAGCUGGUCUGAGAGGAUGAUCAGCCACAUUGGGACUGAGACACGGCCCAAACUCCUACGGGAGGCAGCAGUGGGGAAUAUUGGACAAUGGGCGCAAGCCUGAUCCAGCCAUGCCGCGUGAGUGAUGAAGGUCUUAGGAUUGUAAAGCUCUUUCACCGAUGAAGAUAAUGACGGUAGUCGGAGAAGAAGCCCCGGCUAACUUCGUGCCAGCAGCCGCGGUAA